Molecule: ribosomal RNA, 440 nt
Filed under: uncultured bacterium
Lineage: Bacteria
Description: partial 16S ribosomal RNA
Rfam family: Bacterial small subunit ribosomal RNA
Source: RNAcentral
CCUACGCGAGGCAGCAGUGGGGAAUAUUGCACAAUGGGGGAAACCCUGAUGCAGCGACGCCGCGUGAGGGAAGAAGUAUUUCGGUACGUAAAGCUCUAUCAGCAGGGAAGAAGAUGACGGUACCUGACUAAGAAGCCCCGGCUAACUACGUGCCAGCAGCCGCGGUAAUACGUAGGUGGCAAGCGUUAUCCGGAUUUACUGGGUGUAAAGGGCGUGUAGACGGCAGUGCAAGUCUGGAGUGAAAUCCAAUGGCUUAACCAUGGAACUGCUUUGGAAACUGUGCAGCUAGAGUGCAGGAGAGGUAAGCGGAAUUCCUAGUGUAGCGGUGAAAUGCGUAGAUAUUAGGAGGAACACCAGUGGCGAAGGCGGUUUAUUGGACUGUAACUGACGCUGAGGCUCGAAAGCGUGGGGAGCAAACAGGAUUAGAUACCCCGGUAGUC